This 465-nucleotide ribosomal RNA is filed under the name uncultured bacterium. RNAcentral describes it as "partial 16S ribosomal RNA". It matches the Rfam family "Bacterial small subunit ribosomal RNA", at positions 338 to 795 of the family's 1533-position model. The record is from RNAcentral.
CCUACGGGAGGCAGCAGUAGGGAAUUUUCGUCAAUGGGCGCAAGCCUGAACGAGCGAUGCCGCGUGAGUGAAGAAGGCCUUCGGGUCAUAAAGCUCUGUUGCGGGGGAAGAAAGGCAGCAUCAGGCAAUGGGUGCUGACUGAUGGUGCCCCGCCAGAAAGUCACGGCUAACUACGUGCCAGCAGCCGCGGUAAUACGUAGGUGGCGAGCGUUAUUCGGAAUGGUUGGGCGUAAAGGGUGCGCAGGCGGUCCUGCAAGUCUGCAGUGAAAUGCAUGAGCUCAACUCAUGCAUGGCUUUGGAAACUGGAGGGCUGGAGAGCAGGAGAGGGCGGUGGAACUCCAGGUGUAGCGGUGAAAUGCGUAGAUAUAAGGAAGAACACCAGUGGCGAAGGCGGCUGCCUGGCCUGUUGCUGACGCUGAGGCACGAAAGCGUGGGGAGCAAAUAGGAUUAGAUACCCCAGUAGUC